RNAcentral lists this long non-coding RNA (475 nucleotides) under Nicotiana benthamiana. RNAcentral's name for it is "long non-coding RNA (NBEN_LNC018114)". The record is from RNAcentral. Lineage: Eukaryota; Viridiplantae; Streptophyta; Magnoliopsida; Solanales; Solanaceae.
AGCGGGAUACAUUGAAAUAUAAUGAGAAAAAAGAACAGCAAAUACAAUAAAAUACAUGGAAUACAGCGAAUACAUUGAAUUAAAGUGAAAAUCUCCCUUAAAUGAAUUAAACAACUUUACGUUUCAGAUUUAGAGAUUCUCCAAAAGGAAAAGAUAAUGUGUGGCUUCGAUCUUGGACUAGUAAAUCUUCUAAAAGUGUGAUAUUGCAUCCGAGGAAUCAGUGUAAGCUCCGCCAGAGAAACAUCUAAAAGAAAAUUCCACAGACAUAAAAACAAUCGCACCGGUCAAUUUCGCGGAAUAACAGCACACACAAUCUCUGAAACACAUACAAAGGAGGAUGCAUAAGUUCAAUAUGAAGAAAUUACAAGCGAACUAGAUAGAGAAGAGGAAGAGGAUCAGAAAUUUUAAUGGAAUGGGGGAAGAAAAUGAGAUGUAUCAAAUUAGAGAGAGAAAGAAAAUAUCAUACAUAUUUAAU